Molecule: ribosomal RNA, 489 nt
Filed under: uncultured bacterium
Lineage: Bacteria
Description: partial 16S ribosomal RNA
Rfam family: Bacterial small subunit ribosomal RNA
Source: RNAcentral
GAUGAACGCUAGCGGGAGGCCUAACACAUGCAAGCCGAGCGGGAUUUGUUGGUUAGCUUGCUAACUAACAAUGAGAGCGGCGUACGGGUGCGUAGCACGUGUGCAACCUGCCUUUAUCUGGGGGAUAGCCUUUCGAAAGGAAGAUUAAUACCCCAUAACAUAUUGAUUGGCAUCAGUUAAUAUUGAAAGCUCCGGCGGAUAGAGAUGGGCACGCGUAAGAUUAGCUAGUUGGUGAGGUAACGGCUCACCAAGGCUGCGAUCUUUAGGGGGCCUGAGAGGGUGAUCCCCCACACUGGUACUGAGACACGGACCAGACUCCUACGGGAGGCAGCAGUGAGGAAUAGUGGACAAUGGGUGAGAGCCUGAUCCAGCCAUCCCGCGUGAAGGACUAAGGACCUAUGGUUUGUAAACUUCUUUUAUACAGGGAUAAACCUACUCUCGUGAGGGUAGCUGAAGGCACUGUAUGAAUAAGCACCGGCUAACUCCGUG